RNAcentral lists this ribosomal RNA (468 nucleotides) under uncultured bacterium. RNAcentral describes it as "SSU rRNA". It matches the Rfam family "Bacterial small subunit ribosomal RNA", at positions 26 to 518 of the family's 1533-position model. The record is from RNAcentral.
AGGAUAAACGCUGGCGGCGUGCCUAACACAUGCAAGUCGAACGUCUCUUCUUUCGGGAAGAGGAGUGGCGGACGGGUGAGGAACACGUGGGAACCUGCCCUUCAGUGAGGAAUACCGGCGAGAAAUCGCCGACAAGACCGCAUAGCCCUCUCUGGUGAGAGCCAGAGAAGGAAAGCUUCGCAAGAGGCGCUGGAGGAGGGGCCUGCGUCCGAUUAGCUAGUUGGUGGGGUAAGAGCCUACCAAGGCGUCGAUCGGUAGCUGGUCUGAGAGGACGAUCAGCCACACUGGGAUUGAGAACGGCCCAGACUCCUACGGGGGCAGCAGUGAGGAAUUUUCGGCAAUGGGGAAACCCUGACCGAGCAACGCCGCGUGCAGGAAGACGGCCUUCGGGUUGUAAACUGCUUUCUCUGGGACGAGAGCGGACGGUACCAGAGGAAGAAGCCCGGCUAACUACGUGCCAGCAGCCGC